Molecule: non-coding RNA, 3396 nt
Organism: Triticum urartu
Lineage: Eukaryota; Viridiplantae; Streptophyta; Magnoliopsida; Poales; Poaceae
Source: RefSeq, a predicted model, not a curated record
UUUUAAAUCAUGUGAAAAGGAAAUACGGUCGACAGGCGACGACAGCUCCGGAGCGCGUGGAUGCCGCCGUGACGGGAGAAUGCCCGAGCCAUGGCUCGGGACCGUGAUCUUCUCCUGAUCCGUGGCUUAGGAAUUCAGGUUUCCGGUAGGCGGCGGUAGGCCGAAGAGUAAAUGACGGAUGAGGACAAGUGCGGGGCUGUCUCCUACCUCUGGCUACGCUUUGCUGGAUCUCCAUCGACGGUUAUGGCUCUCUGAGCAGCGGAUAUUGGCGGUGGGGCGGGCGCGGAGAUUGCAGAGCAGUGGUUUGUUGGAAUAAUGGAGUUCCGUGUACAGCCUAUUAGGAGAUUUGGCCGAUGCGAGCGACAACGAGUUUCCGAUGGAGCCGCUCUGCUUCCCCGCGGUGGCGAUAGGUGCGGAUGAGCUGCCCCCCAUGGCAGGGGGUAGCACGGACGGCCAGAUCUGUGCAGCGGAGGGGGGAGUUGCGGGCGAAAGGGAUGUUGAACCACAUGCAUCCGACCAAUCGAUUCAUCCAAAGACUCCAGGCUGGACUAGAAGGGUGAGAAUUGGAGCAGCUGCUCCAGGAAGGACACCUAACCCUGGACGUCCCAGCGCCCUGUGGAAGGCUAAUCGUGGAUUCGCUGAGAAACCAGGGGAGAUUGUGAUCGUGCCUGCAAUUGGCACAAGCUUUGAUACGCUCGGCGAGGCCUAUGACUUUCACAAUAUCUACUCCUGGGAGAAGGCGUUCGGGAUAAGGCACGGGAAGAGCAGACUGAAUGUGGAGAGGACAAAAUGCAUGGAAGUUUGUGUUUGUGCGGUAUUCCACCAUAACCAUAGGAAAACCCGGGGUGGAGGACACUUGAUCGUGCCGAUGCGAAUGCCCUACACUGAUAAGAUUGCUCCGUUCAAAGGCCAAUGGUUGGUACAUAGCUGAGCAUCGUGAGCAGCACAACCACUCGUUGUGUCCAACAUAUGGGCAGACAAUACACUGGCAUUUGCACAAGCACAUUGAUGUCUACAGCAGAGAUCUGGUUGAGCAGUUGCGCCAGAACAAUGUGAACCUAGCAAAAGUACACAACAUUAUUGGAAGUUUUUUUUGGGCUCAAUGGAGAAGCCCCCCUUUACAAAAAGAGCUCUGAAAAAUUUGUGUGGCAAAAUCACCAGGGUGCGGGCUGAAGAUGAUGUGAGGAAACUAUGGAGGUUUUCGCAGAACUCAGUUCAAGAGAUCGCCACUUCACUUAUCGUGUGCAAGCAGACAACGAUGGUCCGAUAACAAAUUUGAUGUGGGCGAAUGUGAGCAGCAGGUUGCAGUACACAUUCUUUGGAGACAUCGUUACUUUCGAUACGACUUACAGAACAAACAUGUACAACAUGCCAUUUGGUCUAUUCGUCGGUGUGAACAAUCAUUUUCAGAGUAUCAUCCUAGCUGGGGUUUUGGUUCGUGAUGAAUAAGAGAGAACAUUUGAGUAGGUUUUCACGGAGUUCGUUAGGAUGAUGGGAGUGAGUGCGCCCAAAACAAUUCUGACAUGUUUGAACCUUUAUAAUACAAAAAAUGUGUGGUUCAUCCAUUUCAGGAUUGAUGUUUUUGAAACAUGGAUUGUAAUAUGAUUUAACUUGUUGUGCAGAUCAAUGCUGCGCAAUGGAGUUUGCCAUAAAAAAUGUAAUGCCUCAGACCGGUGCAUCGAUGGUUCAAGUGGCACGUGCUAAAAAAAGGCAAAAGAAUCACUCAAUUCAUUGUACACCAAGAAGAGUGAGUUCAGGGCAGAGUUCCACAAGGUAGUGAAUCACAUGCUUACAAUCGACAAAUUCGAGGAAGCUUGGAAGAUCUUGGUGGAGAAAUACAAUCUAAAGACUCACUCAUACAUGACGCAACUGUAUGAAAUACGGCACAAGUGGGAGAAGCCAUAUUUCAAAGGUGUUUUCUGUGCAAAGAUGACCAGCACACAGCGCAUUGAACGUACAAACAACAUGCUGAAGAAUAAUGUUCCAUCGGGUUGUCCAGUGAAUAUGUUUAUCAAGAAGUACAUGAGACUUCAGUUUGACAGGGAAGCAGAGGAGAACUACGAGGAGAAACAGACACAAAUAAGUAGGCCUCUACAAUGCAAACUUAGCUAUCGAUCGUCAUCCUAGUAAGAUAUACACAUGAGCUAUGUUCGAGCAGUUUAGGCAUAUACUCUAUGAGUGUGGGGGCAUACCAAGUUGAAGAGCUUGAGAAGGGGAAACUUUAUCGUGCGAUUCACAUGGAGGCUGCAAGGAGAGAAAAGUGCUGCAGAGUGUCGUACGAGGUAAAUGUACUGGAAGGGGGUGAUGAACUUGAAUGUGAGUGUGAGCCAUUUGCACACAUGGGUCUGCUAUGCAGCUAUGUUUUAAGGUGCUGGAUUUCAUUCAUAUAAUAGAGAUACCACAGAAACACAUCGUCAAGCGAUGGACCAGAGAUGCACGCGACAUACUACUGCCUCACCUUACUUAAUAUCUGAGAGAUAAUGCCCACAAUAACCCAUUCAGCUUCAGGCAUUUCAACAUGCACAUGCAUGCCAUGGAGCUGGCGUGGAUGGGUGACACAAGUGUUGAGGCCUGUGAGAAAUUCAUGUCUCUCAGUAAGAGUUGCUUGAUAUAGAUAUGCAACACUUUGCAGAGGUGAAGGAUGGGCUAGGAGGAUAGCUUAAAAUGGAGAUGUCGUUAAUCAGGCACCAGUGCAGGCGACAAUUCUUGAUGGAAGUGGAGAUGCAUCUAUCCGAGCUUUGAAUGCUGAAGCUACUUCAGUGAACAAGUGGGAACAUGCUGGCUGGAUUGUUGGCUCCAAAGAAGCGAAAAGAGAUGGGUCGCCCAACAACUGCCCAAGAGAAGGCGCCAUACGAGGGUCUAAGCAAAUGGAUGAGGUUCUGCACGAUAUGUCGUCAGCAGGGGCAUAAGAGGACAACCUGCCCAGACCUGGCGAUAUCCUGAAGCCUGUUCGCAAACCGGCAAGGUGCAAAAAUUGUGGCGUUGAAGGUCACAGGCGAAACAACUACAAAAGAGUAGGUGAUCUAUGGAUGAGCGCCAUCUUUUUUUAGAAAAGGAGGAUGACCCCCGGCCUCUGCAUCUGGACGAUGCAUACGGCCACUUCAUUAAUUAUUCUCACAAGACUUUACAAAGUCAUACAACAGUAAGACUAAAGCCGCCGUCGGAUGAGCGCCAUCUGAUCAGUCGCUUCAAGGUUUUCUAUGUGCUGUUUUCGUGAAGAGAGUAAUUCUGUAGAACAAAAUGUAUCCGGUGGUUACUCCCUUUGUAGCACUCCCAAAUGGUUGCUGAGUGUGCUGGUCUGCUGUUAGUCAUAACAAUGCCUUGAUGGCUUGUUUUACAAUAAACACGAAACUCUGUCACACGAUGCUGUGUUAUUUUAUUUGAAUUUGUUGGCUA